RNAcentral lists this transfer RNA (76 nucleotides) under Rhodococcus erythropolis CCM2595. RNAcentral describes it as "tRNA-Arg". It matches the Rfam family "tRNA". Rfam says of the family: Transfer RNA (tRNA) molecules are approximately 80 nucleotides in length. Their secondary structure includes four short double-helical elements and three loops (D, anti-codon, and T loops). The record is from RNAcentral. Lineage: Bacteria; Bacillati; Actinomycetota; Actinomycetes; Mycobacteriales; Nocardiaceae.
CGCCCUCGUAGCUCAGGGGAUAGAGCAUUCCUCUCCUAAAGGAAGGGUCGCAGGUUCGAAUCCUGCCGAGGGCACC